GACCAGUGGCCAGGACUGACGCCGGUCGUGUGCGUGGGCUCUGCUCAGCUGACGGGACUGUGCACGGGUCCGGGUCCGGAUGGACGCGCAGGCUGUGGUUUCACUGACCGAUAACUUGCUUACCCAUUGUACUUUGUGCUCACAGUCCCAAUUACUUGCAUUUAACCAGGCGUGCCCGUGAAAUGCAAAUUGGACGCGAAUCAGCGUAGAUAUCCCUGCGUGAGCCCGAGGAUCGAGCAGUGGGGUAAUUCCCAGAACUGGGGACUGACCGCUGAUCCCUACCACGAGAAGCACCGACCUCGAAGGGGCUGAGGGGGGUUCGAAGCCCACCUCCUGCCUACCCCAGCCCCCUUCUGUCAGCAUGCAGGGUCACCGCCAGGUCCGGUUUGCCCAUUGGGGAGGUAUUUUGCAGAGUUUGGGAUGUUAAUAUGUGGAGAUAAGGGGGAAGCAGUGUGUUACAGUUCCAUCAAGAGCAGUGCCAGGGAGAUGUCUAAUCUUACAAUCCUCUUACGUCCUUGGGAAAAAAAUGUUACCGUCUCUGUCUCCCUCUAUUUAAUUUAGUGGCCUUCGGGAACAAUUGCUCAGUCAUAGAAAGAUGAGUUUCAGAGACUGGAGCCCUGAUGCCACAAGCUUUCUUGCUUUUCCAAGCACUGGAGUCUGACAUAGAUGCGACGGAAUGGAGAAGGGGGCAGGAUUGGGGCAUUCCUGUGUCGGAAAAUACAGCUAUUGAGCAUUUGGGCAGUUGCUCUCCCACUUCCACAACUCAUGAGCCACUUCACCAGGAUGUGUGUCACGGGAGGCAGUGACUGGCCAAGGAGUCCAUGAAAGCUAGGAAACCAGGCCCUUCUGACCAGCAGUGAAAGACUGAAGAGUAAAAGCACAUUAAUAUCCCGGGGCACCUACAUGGAGACAAGUGGCUCAGUUUUCCUGCCUCGGUGCCCUUUUCCGAGACUCCUGGUGGGGAGAAUCCAUCCCAUGGAUGCUCCUGGCAGAACCAUUUGUUUCCUGUACAGGCAUAGCCCAUCAAAUCAGCACUGUCUGUUUGCUACAGAAAACGGGGCCCGGGGUCCAGAGCAAGUGCUGCAGCCCUGAAAAAGAGCAAGCUAUCUGAAAGUAAAAGACAUCAUUAAAUUUCCUUUCCACAGGGUGAAUGAAGAAGCUUUUACCUGGGGAAGAAAGGAAAAGUGUGCUUUUUGUUAGCUUCAUCCAGAGAGAAAGAAAAUCUUUGACGUAUUUUCUGGCAUGUGACUCCUGUUAGGCUUCAGCCUAAACAGCCUGUUUUCAAAAGCACUGGAAUGUAGUUUCAGCAAUAAUUGGUCAACAGAAAUGGAGGCAGUGAGGGUAUUCUGUUGUACAGAAGUCCUGGGUGAAAACCCAUACAUUGUGGCUAAGAAGUCAAAGAAAACAGAUUUAACAGAUGAAUGUUAAUCUUGGGACCUGAACUCCUGGAAUCUGGCUCUUCCCUGAAAGAUGGAAAACUGGAGCCAUUGCUGCAUGGGGGAUGGUGCUUUUCCACUCCAAUUUCAGACAAUUGACUUAAACUCAUCUGCUGAACCUUUUGCCCUGCUGACGAAAAAAUUUAAUUUCCCACCAUUUUUUAAAUUUAUUGCUCAGAAUACAUAAGUACUAGAGAUACAGCUUUUGGUGUAAACCAGCAUAAUCCUUUCACCACUGAAAUGUUCUGUUAUAUAGUAUUUUGACCUCUCUAUGUGUGUGUGAAAUUGCUGUCUAAAAUGCAUCACUUUUAAAAUUUAUAUUUUCCUGUUUCAGGACAAAUUUGUUAAAAAAUUCUAAAAGAAAAUUACGCAAAAUAAAGCAUCUGCUCUUUAUUGUCCUGUGUGGAAAACACUUGAGUUCUGCAUAGUUUCAAAGCACUUUUGAAGGAACUGAAAUUGUUCAGUGUCAUACUACAAUAGUGUAAUUUUUAUAGGCUAGUUGAAUUAUUUUCACGAGACAAAGAAAUCCCUUACACUGACAGUGCUAUAUAUUUGCAAAGGAACGAGUAAUGUGCUUGCAUUGUACUGAGAUCAUGAAAGCACGCUGCUCUGAAUAAGCUGAGUUUGGUCCAGGCCAAUACAAUAAUGACUGAUGUUUUGAUAACACUUCAGCGGCAUUGAACAAGGGUUGAUGUCUCUGCCACAACAAUGGGUAGUCGUUGAAGAUCUCAGCAGUGAAGCCAAAAAAAAAAAAAAAGGCAACAGUUUUGGAAGUGUUCUGCUUUUCCCAAACUCUCACUGAGUUAAACUAAGGGUGAAGAUUGGUAAGUAUUUAUGUAGCUGGAGGUACAUCCUCUCUUCAAAGUCUGCUCUCAAGACUGCUGAGAAGAUUCCCAUUGCCUUUCAGUCUUCGGACCAGUCCGUAUA
Molecule: long non-coding RNA, 2363 nt
Organism: Harpia harpyja (harpy eagle)
Lineage: Eukaryota; Metazoa; Chordata; Aves; Accipitriformes; Accipitridae
Exons: 3
Source: RefSeq, a predicted model, not a curated record